RNAcentral lists this ribosomal RNA (430 nucleotides) under uncultured bacterium. RNAcentral's name for it is "partial 16S ribosomal RNA". It matches the Rfam family "Bacterial small subunit ribosomal RNA", at positions 354 to 796 of the family's 1533-position model. The record is from RNAcentral.
GUGGGGAAUAUUGCACAAUGGGCGCAAGCCUGAUGCAGCAACGUCGCGUGAGGGACGACGGCCUUCGGGUUGUAAACCUCUUUUAGCAGGGAAGAAGCGAAAGUGACGGUACCUGCAGAAAAAGCACCGGCUAACUACGUGCCAGCAGCCGCGGUAAUACGUAGGGUGCAAGCGUUGUCCGGAAUUAUUGGGCGUAAAGAGCUCGUAGGCGGUUUGUCGCGUCUGCUGUGAAAACCCGAGGCUCAACCGCGGGCCUGCAGUGGGUACGGGCAGACUAGAGUGCGGUAGGGGAGAUUGGAAUUCCUGGUGUAGCGGUGGAAUGCGCAGAUAUCAGGAGGAACACCGAUGGCGAAGGCAGAUCUCUGGGCCGUAACUGACGCUGAGGAGCGAAAGCGUGGGGAGCGAACAGGAUUAGAUACCCUGGUAGUCC